GAUGAACGCUGGCGGCGUGCCUAACACAUGCAAGUAGAACGCUGAAGGAGGAGCUUGUUCUUCUGGAUGAGUUGCGAACGGGUGAGUAACCCGUAGGUAACCUGCCUGGUAGCGGGGGAUAACUAUUGGAAACGAUAGCUAAUACCGCAUUACAACAGUUAUUGCAUGAUAAUUUUUUAAAAGGGGCAUCUGCUCCACUACUAGAUGGACCUGCGUUGUAUUAGCUAGUUGGUGAGGUAACGGCUCACCAAGGCGACGAUACAUAGCCGACCUGGGAGGGAGGACGGCCACACUGGGAGUGGGAAACGGGCCAGGCUCCUACGGGGAGCAGCAGUAGGGAAUCUUCGGCAAUGGAGGGAAGUCUGACCGAAGAACGCCGCGGGAGUGAAGAAAGGUUUCGGAUCGGAAAGGUCUGUUGUAAGGGGAGAAAGAGUGUGAGAGUGGAAAGUUCACGCUGUGACGGUAUCUUACCAAAAAGGAACGGCUAACUACGUG
This 495-nucleotide ribosomal RNA is filed under the name uncultured bacterium. RNAcentral's name for it is "partial 16S ribosomal RNA". It matches the Rfam family "Bacterial small subunit ribosomal RNA", at positions 28 to 507 of the family's 1533-position model. The record is from RNAcentral.